UCCUGCCCCAAAAACCCCAGCGGAGACCAGCCUGACACUCCCAUGACGUUCCUGACCAGUGAAGGCCUGGCCUGUGCAGAUUUAUGGAGUGCCUUACUCUCCUAUUUGGGCUGAGACUUUGAGUCAGACUGCUAGAAGUUGCACAAGAUUAAGAAGAAAAUUAGAUCUGGUCUUUUCUGGUCCAGCAAGCUCCAAGCUACUCAUCAUAAACCAUCAAUUAUGCUGGAGAUGUAUAAAGAAAAUUGAUAAGCAGGUGACAAGUCUGUGUGUAAACUGGCUGAGCGGAAGAUGUUAAAGCCCCCUUGCAGGAAGAGGCAUGUGGACCACUGACAUGCAGGGUUUUGGCUCUACACUAAUGAGACAUACUUUCAGAAAACAGGUUCAAGCAACGUGUAAAACAAUCAAGGACAAUAUCAAAUGAGGACAAGGGCUGACGUCAGAGGAAAUGUAACUGGCAAUGUAAAAGACGGUGGGAUAUUUGGGGAAAACUAUAUUUAAGGCAACAAAAGUGGGUUAUAUUAUUUCUACGUUUUUUUUCUAUGACUCCUAAAUUUAUUCACAUCCCCUGAGUCAGGCCUGUGAUCUGCCUUUGGAGAAAAGCAGGUCACAUUAUACAACCAGGAAGUGGCCUGCCAAUGUCCUGCAGCUUGUUUAUGAAGACAUCCUGUUACCAGGGUGAUAGGGUCCUGUCUGGGAGCGUCUUCAUUAGUGGUCACACAUGGUAGGCACAGGCAUUCUGUUCAUUC
Long non-coding RNA from Cyprinus carpio carpio, 746 nucleotides. The record is from Ensembl. Lineage: Eukaryota; Metazoa; Chordata; Actinopteri; Cypriniformes; Cyprinidae.